CCAGUAAGUAUCUGUGGUCAGAUAUGAAUUUAUGAAGUCCUGACUCCAGACCUGGCACACUGUCCACUGUGUCACCUAGCUGUUCCCUCCGUCCAUCAGGUAUAUCACAGCACAAAACAUGCUCCAUGAUCUGGGGGGCCUGAGGUCUCCACUAUGGGUGAGAUGACUGGUUCUUACAGAAUAUUUGGUGAAUCAAAUUUUAUCUGAGGAUUAACAGUAUAUACAAUAUGGCAGAAAUCUCCGAGCUUGAACUGUAGAUACUGCUCAGGCACUACAUGUCUAGCAUUGAGGUAACUUCAAUGGGAGAUAAGAUAAGGUAAUGAUACCAUCUGGCUCAGGAGACAAGACAAGACAGGACAAGACAGAUGGUGUGGUAUAGACUAUUAGUCUAUCUGGAGAGAAAUGACAUGAUAUCAUGCAAAAUGUAAUGGGCUAAACCUGACCCCAAAAAAGAACUCUGAGAAGGUCCUACCCUCCUUUACCUACAGAAAUGGGGGAUAAAGAGUAUAGAAAACUACAGAGAAUGUCAGACUUUACUAAUUCAGAUUAACUGUUGCUUUUUGUUAUUUCUUAUUCUGUUUGAGCACGCCCAGAUUACUUAAAAUGGAGGUACCAUUUUCUGGGAGAAGGCAUUCUGCAUUCUAUUAUGUAGAUAGGAGUAAAUAGUUUCUUGAUCCCUGGAAUAUCCUAGAUAAAAAACCAAACCAAAAAAAAAAACAUGACACUGGAACACAUACAUUCUCUCUCUUUCCCACAAAUCCAGAGGUCUUACCUUCCCAUAGAUCAGGCAACAAGAAUUGAGGUAGAGAAGAAGCUUUCUCUGUGGCCCCAAGAAAUGGGUGUGGGAUUGGAAUUUGUCUGUUUGCUUGUUUUGUCCUGUUUGUUCUUUUCCCUCCUAGGGGUAAGAUGCAGAAUUCCCACUGGCCUUUGGAGUCUGAACAAUGAUGAUCUUGGAAGCAAGAUUCCUGGCUGGAUAGACAGCCAACCUGUCCAGCUGGGAUGUUCUGAGAAGCUGGGGUGCCAGAGAUUUAAUGCCAAGGUGGAAAUCUGAUCAUGAAAAUGGUCAGUAGGAGUACAGGUUGAAAAUCCUCAGAGAUUUGGUGGAGAAUAGCAGCUAACUACCUGGCAUACAUCACGGUAAAGCAUACUGAAUUUCCAGCUCACAGGAAAUAAAUAACCAGUGACCUAAAGCA
RNAcentral lists this long non-coding RNA (1193 nucleotides) under Monodelphis domestica (gray short-tailed opossum). RNAcentral describes it as "lncRNA (ENSMODG00000042521.1)". Lineage: Eukaryota; Metazoa; Chordata; Mammalia; Didelphimorphia; Didelphidae. The record is from RNAcentral.